Molecule: ribosomal RNA, 88 nt
Filed under: Paractinoplanes deccanensis
Lineage: Bacteria; Bacillati; Actinomycetota; Actinomycetes; Micromonosporales; Micromonosporaceae
Also listed under: 17 other names
Source: RNAcentral
CGGUCUCAUUCCGAACCCGGAAGCUAAGCCCUCCAGCGCCGAUGGUACUGCACUCGGGAGGGUGUGGGAGAGUAGGACGCCGCCGGAC